AGCCGUAUGUCCGGGUGGUGAGGGAGCGGUCUUGAAAAUCGUUGGUCUGAAAGGACUUGCAGGUUCAAAUCCUGUGUACGGCGUUUA
RNAcentral lists this transfer RNA (87 nucleotides) under Bacteriophage sp. RNAcentral describes it as "tRNA-Ser". It matches the Rfam family "tRNA". Rfam says of the family: Transfer RNA (tRNA) molecules are approximately 80 nucleotides in length. Their secondary structure includes four short double-helical elements and three loops (D, anti-codon, and T loops). The record is from RNAcentral.